ACAGUGGACGCGAGCAUCUGUGGCCAAGUUUUUAAGGGCGCACGGUGGAUGCCUUGGCACCAGGAACCGAUGAAGGACGUGGGAGGCCGCGAUAGGCCCCGGGGAGCUGUCAACCGAGCUGUGAUCCGGGGGUGUCCGAAUGGGGAAACCCGGCAGUCGUCAUGGGCUGUCACCCAUACCUGAACACAUAGGGUAUGUGGAGGGAACGCGGGGAAGUGAAACAUCUCAGUACCCGCAGGAAGAGAAAACAACCGUGAUUCCGGGAGUAGUGGUGAGCGAAACCGGAUGAGGCCAAACC
RNAcentral lists this ribosomal RNA (298 nucleotides) under Streptomyces griseoflavus. Its description in RNAcentral is "partial 23S ribosomal RNA". It matches the Rfam family "Bacterial large subunit ribosomal RNA", at positions 1 to 275 of the family's 2925-position model. The record is from RNAcentral. Lineage: Bacteria; Bacillati; Actinomycetota; Actinomycetes; Kitasatosporales; Streptomycetaceae.